GAAAUGCCCAUGGGUCAGGAGCUGUCGCUGGCCUUCUGCGCCGUGCACGCUUCCCCCUGUCCCUCUUCAUUUCUCCAUCUAUUUGUGCACUCCCUUGCCAUGGAUCUCUUUGUCUGAGGGCCCUUUCCUUGGAUCAUUAGGACUGCUUUGCGAAUUCCUUUGUUUUCGUGGGCUUUCCUUGCCAUUCCAUGUCUUUCUUCACAUAUAUACCCCAGUGUAACCAUGAAAUAGACCAAUUUUUGAUGCAUAAUACAACUUUCAGCAACGGAUCUCUUGGCUCUCGCAUCGAUGAAGAACGCAGCGAAAUGCGAUAAGUAAUGUGAAUUGCAGAAUUCAGUGAAUCAUCGAAUCUUUGAACGCAUCUUGCGCUCCUUGGUAUUCCGAGGAGCAUGCCUGUUUGAGUGUCGUAAAUAUCUCAACCACACCAUGGUGGUGUGGCUUGGAAUUGGGGGUUUAUGCAGGCUCUUUCUUGUAGCCUGCUCCCCUGAAAUGCAUGAGUGGUCGAACCUCUGUUAGGUGUGAUAAUUAUCUGCAUCUGAUGGAAAGGUCUCAUGGCUGCUGCUAUACCUCGUUGGAGUUGAUAAACUUGACCUCAAAUCAGGUAGGACCACCCGCUGAACUUAA
Molecule: ribosomal RNA, 624 nt
Filed under: uncultured Inocybe
Lineage: Eukaryota; Fungi; Basidiomycota; Agaricomycetes; Agaricales; Cortinariaceae
Description: eukaryotic LSU rRNA
Rfam family: 5.8S ribosomal RNA (bases 254-407)
Source: RNAcentral